ACUCUAAGCGGUGGAUCACCCGGCUCGUGCGUCGAUGAAGAACGCAGCGAAAUGCG
Molecule: ribosomal RNA, 56 nt
Filed under: Pinctada maxima (silver-lipped pearl oyster)
Lineage: Eukaryota; Metazoa; Mollusca; Bivalvia; Pterioida; Pteriidae
Description: partial 5.8S ribosomal RNA
Rfam family: 5.8S ribosomal RNA
About the family: 5.8S ribosomal RNA (5.8S rRNA) is a component of the large subunit of the eukaryotic ribosome. It is transcribed by RNA polymerase I as part of the 45S precursor that also contains 18S and 28S rRNA. Functionally, it is thought that 5.8S rRNA may be involved in ribosome translocation.
Source: RNAcentral